AGUGAACGCUGGCGGUAGGCCUAACACGUGCAAGUCGAACGGCAGCACAGUAAGAGCUUGCUCUUACGGGUGGCGAGUGGCGGACGGGUGAGGAAUACAUCGGAAUCUACUUUUUCGUGGGGGAUAACGUAGGGAAACUUACGCUAAUACCGCAUACGACCUACGGGUGAAAGCAGGGGAUCUUCGGACCUUGCGCGACUGAAUGAGCCGAUGUCGGAUUAGCUAGUUGGCGGGGUAAAGGCCCACCAAGGCGACGAUCCGUAGCUGGUCUGAGAGGAUGAUCAGCCACACUGGAACUGCGACACGGUACAGAAUCCUACGGGGGGCAGCAGUGGGGAAUAUUGGACAAUGGGCGCAAGACUGAUCCAGCCAUACCGCGUGGGUGGAGAAGGCCUUCGGGUUGUAAAGCCCUUUUGUUGGGAAAGAAAAGCAGCAGGUUAAUACCCCGCUGUUCUGACGGUACCCAAAGAAUAAGCACCGGCUAACUUCGUG
Molecule: ribosomal RNA, 492 nt
Filed under: uncultured bacterium
Lineage: Bacteria
Description: partial 16S ribosomal RNA
Rfam family: Bacterial small subunit ribosomal RNA
Source: RNAcentral